AGAGUUUGAUCAUGGCUCAGAACGAACGCUGGCGGCAGGCCUAACACAUGCAAGUCGAGCGCCCCCGCAAGGGGGAGCGGCGGACGGGUGAGUAAUGCGUGGGAAUUUUCCUCAAGGUACGGAACAACUCAGGGAAACUUGGGCUAAUACCGUAUGAUGUCUAGCGACCAAAGAUUUAUCGCCUUGGGAUAAGCCCGCGUCAGAUUAGGUAGUUGGUGGGGUAACGGCCUACCAAGCCUGCGAUCUGUAGCUGGUCUGAGAGGACGAUCAGCCACACUGGGACUGAGACACGGCCCAGACUCCUACGGGAGGCAGCAGUGGGGAAUCUUGCGCAAUGGGCGAAAGCCUGACGCAGCCAUGCCGCGUGAAUGAUGAAGGUCUUAGGAUUGUAAAGUUCUUUCGCCCGUGACGAUGAUGACGGUAACGGAGAAGAG
RNAcentral lists this ribosomal RNA (434 nucleotides) under uncultured Inquilinus sp. RNAcentral's name for it is "bacterial SSU rRNA". It matches the Rfam family "Bacterial small subunit ribosomal RNA", at positions 8 to 489 of the family's 1533-position model. The record is from RNAcentral. Lineage: Bacteria; Pseudomonadati; Pseudomonadota; Alphaproteobacteria; Rhodospirillales; Rhodospirillaceae.